CAUCACUACGCUAGAUGCAUAUCAAUAAGCGGAGGAAAAGAAACUAACAAGGAUUCCCUUAGUAACGGCGAGUGAAGCGGGAAGAGCUCAAAUUUGAAAUCUUCAAGGUUUUUACCUUGACGAAUUGUAGUUUAAAGAAGUGUUUUCUGUUGAAGUUUUGGUAAAAGUUCUUUGGAAUAGGACAUCAUAGAGGGUGAGAAUCCCGUAUUUGACCAUUAUUUUCAGCUGUGUGAUACACUUUCAAAGAGUCGGAUUGUUUGGGAAUGCAGUCCAAAAUGGGUGGUAAAUUUCAUCUAAAGCUAAAUAUUGGCGAGAGACCGAUAGCGAACAAGUACCGUGAGGGAAAGAUGAAAAGAACUUUGAAAAGAGAGUUAAACAGUACGUGAAAUUGUCAAAAGGGAAGCGUUUGACACCAGUGUUGUUUUCUCGAAAAUCAAUUAAAAAAAGUUGGAUUUUGUGUUGUAUUGACCUUAACAGCUUUCUGCACUCUUUUCCUGCUUUUUUUAAUGCACUAUUCGUUUAACAAGUCAACAUCGGUUUCUUUUGUUGUAAAAGGGUCAUUGGAAGGUGGCUUUCUUUUCGGAGAAAGUGUUUAUAGCCUUUGAUCUCUGCAAUCGGAGAGACUGAGGUCUGCAGCGUAGAUCCUUCGGGGUUAGAUACAUUUGUGCUAAGUUAUAACUUUUCAUAGACAACUUGUUGACUAUGUUUUAGUCAUGUAGCUUACUCGCUUAUGCUAUUUUACCUACGCUUAGGAUGUUGAGUAGCGACAUACGCACC
This 777-nucleotide ribosomal RNA is filed under the name uncultured Neocallimastigales. Its description in RNAcentral is "partial large subunit ribosomal RNA". It matches the Rfam family "Eukaryotic large subunit ribosomal RNA", at positions 20 to 650 of the family's 3401-position model. The record is from RNAcentral. Lineage: Eukaryota; Fungi; Neocallimastigomycota; Neocallimastigomycetes; Neocallimastigales.